Molecule: long non-coding RNA, 5332 nt
Filed under: Gallus gallus (chicken)
Lineage: Eukaryota; Metazoa; Chordata; Aves; Galliformes; Phasianidae
Source: RNAcentral
AAAAAACAGCAAAAAACUAAAUUAAAAUAAAUUAAAAAUUAAAAACAUUAAACAUUUAAAAAAUUAGACAAAUUAAAAAACAUUAAAGAUUUGGGAUUGCCAGGCUGGCAAUUGUCCUCUGUAAUUUAGCAUGGGAGGGGCUACUGCUCCAAACAGGUGUGUUGGCAGUCAACUAUAUGCAAUUGCAGUUUAUUUUAAUGUUAAAAAAAAAAAAAAGAUAUGCUUGCCCUUUACCAUUUAUGGCAGUCCUCAAACAGAAUAGUUGACCUUCCUUUAUCUAUAUUUUCCUUUGAUUUGAUUUUCCGAUAAGGAAAUCCUCCAGCAAAUCUGCUAAUGAAGUCCCUGCUCAUUUUGCAUUCUGGAUUUGUCCAAAGAGGUGCUAAAUAUCAGCAGGUAAUGGAGGACGGGAACAAUACUGUUGAGCAACGACAAGCAAGUGAGAUUAAAGCUGAAAAUACUGAUUCUACAAGAACUGCUUGUUCAUGGGAAUGCUGCUGCUACAUGCCAGAAAAUCUAAAGAAGAAAAAUAAUGAAAAGGUGAAGUAAUUUCUUUGAAUUCACAGUAAAUCAGCAGACUCAUGGAUCGAAGUCAGACUAAUAGACCAAGGACAAACACAACUGCGGGGAUUGGCCUCUUCUCCCAGCGUAGGAGAGUUUCAAAGAGGAACCUGACAGAUAUUUGCUCCUGCUGGGCUGAGCUGUGAUGCUGGAGAUUUCAAGAAGAUACUCCACAGCAGUUGAGUGACUUUCUCAUUGCAAGGCAACGCUGGGAAAAGCAUCCUCUCCAGGUAGGAAGAAAGUGUAAAAAGAAGUCCGGAAAUGAGGCUUAUAUCUGAUGGAUAUUGGGUGCUGGCAGGGUCAUACCUGGAAAGAGGUGGUGCACCAAAACUGACAAGGUAGGGAAAUCUUCCAUCCAGGUUUACAGAGAAUAGCAGAGGGUUCACUCUCAUUUUGAUCUGAUAUAAUGCUUUGAAUCUGGGAAAAUAUAUGGUAUAACUUUUCAUUAAAAAAUAUUUAUUUUUUAACAUGUGAGACUAGAUGCAUUUCACAGUUUUAUUUUGCUGUUUCCUGUCUGUCUUUCUUCAACUCUCGUGCCUGUUAAAUGUCAAAAAAAAAAAAAAAAAAAAAAAACGUAUGCAAAGAGGCCAUGAGGGUGCAGGUCUGCUAAAGAGUCUGAGGGUAAUCAAUAAUGUGGAUUUGAUUUUCAGCCAUGCCAAAUAGCUCUGGUUCCACAUGGCAUUAUCAGCACCAGUAAGCAAUCAGUGUUAUACAUGGAGCUCUUUAAGUGCUCUUGGAUUGUUUCUUGAUCGGUAUCUGUGGGGAAAAAGAAGGUAACUUGACUUGUAAAGUUUCAAGAUUCAACCCACAUUUAUUUAUUGUUUCACAAUUUCCAGACUCCUCAUGGGAGUUACAAACAUAAGCCUCCAUCCUUGGGAGCACCAUGUGCUCCUGCACAUCAGUCUUGGGCUGCUGGAGCUUUAUUGCUGCUUUCACAGCUGUUGUGUUCCCAUACAUAAUUAAUAAGCAAACACUUCAUAUGGUAUUGUGAAUGGAUAAUGUUAUUAUAUUGUCCAUCGCACAUUGAAAUCAAAAUGGACCAAGACAAAUUUUUACUAGUAUCUUAGGAGAUCUUGCAGACAUCAGACAGGCUGAGAGAUAUCUGAACAUUAUUUCUAAGGAGGAGAUGAAAGUGUUUCACAACAUAUUGAUCUGUACCUGAGCGUAAAUGAUUAAUGUACUGUGGUCCAACUGCAGCUGGAUUUCUUUUGACAACAGCCAUGAAACAAGCUAUGAUCUCAUAUCCAUUGAUAGAUCGAUAUAUAUAGGUAUGUAUUUUUAUAUAUAGAUGCAUUUACCUUUAUCAUGUGAUUGAGUGGCAGACCUUGCAUUAUAAAUCAAGGCUUGGCAAAAGUGGAAGUAUAAACUUGACACAUUUCUGGAUGUAUGUGAUCUAGUAUUUAUUAGUUUUUUCCUCUCAGUGUGAUUCUCUUUCCAACUUUCCUCAUUUUUGACUGAGAAUCCCUUGAUAGACUCUAUUAUUUCCAAAAUUUUCCUCUAUACUGAAAUACUGUCAAUACUACUUGAAAUGUGUUAUGGAAAGAAUGCCAUUUGUCCACUGCUCUGCUUAAGAUGGGCACUUAUGAGUUAAUUUUUUAAAAUCUCCAUUUUCUUCUGAUGUAAGUAUAAACAAAUAAGAAGGUAAGACUGAAGUUGAAAUGGGGAAAAAUGUGGGCAAGACAAUUAACAUUUGCAAAGCAAUAAGGACUUACCUGAAUAGCUUAAUUGAACACUGGAGACUUCGUGUUUCUGGGGAGAAAGAAGAAUAAAUUCAGUGCCAUUUAACACCGAUGUGUUAAGCAAUGUAAGUUGCUACAUUAAUAAUCUUUCCUGGCAUAUUGAGUGGGAAUUUUGUAUCUAUUUAUUUCUUUAUGCUGUAUCUAUUGCAGGAAUUCUUUCUCCUGUACUCUUUUCUGACAAGCGAACCUCAGUAUGCCAACAGAAUAACUCUGCCUUCCUUGCCACGCACAAUAGACUGUUUUUAAUGCCUUGAUUACAAUUUACAUCUAAUGCCUAGGGAAAGAAGAACCAUUCUGAGAAGCUUUCAAAAUAUGUUUGCAGUCUCAUAACCAACUCAAACUGCAAAUAUGUUUUUCUUUUAUGGGUUUACACUUAGCAACUGAACAUAGUUAUAUCUGCCCAGAAGCCUUGUACAUAAUUACGUCUUGAUUCACACUGGUUCUGGGAAAGCAUUAAGUCAAAAUGGUUAUAAAUAUGUAAUCUGAAUAAUUUGAUUUGUCAGUGAGAAACAUUAUUUAACUACAAUAUUUUGGAUGAAGUCGCUGCUUUCGUUGAAUACUUGCAUUUGUAGUGUAAUAAGCCACUGCAAACCAAUAAUGAAUGGCAAACUUUGGAAGUAUGGAAAUUAUAUUGUCUGAGGAAACCUGCAACACAGUACAAUGAUAACUGGCUCAGUCAAGGGUAAAAUCAAGAGGAAAAAUAGUUAAUUCUAUUUUCUUGACAUUUGUUGUUGCUUUGUUUUGUUUUUUAAACGAGAGAGAGAUUUUUUCCCAGUGCUUCAGAAACCUUCUUCGUAUCACCUCAUGUCAGAAGCAAUUGUAUGGAGUGGAUGUAAAAAGGCCUGGGACAAUUGCACAGUUCAUACUGUAAAGAUGAAAGCAGCCUGCUCUUUCUGGUACAUCUCCGCUUUGAUCUACAUAGUGUGGAAAACUGAGACCUUGCCCAGCAUAAUGCUGCAGGCUUCUGCCGUGUUGCAAGUCCUUGGAACAGAGAGAGGAAAAGGUGCUGUACUCAUACCAUGGCAGUUACAGAAGAACAAAGACUGGUAUAUGCUGAAACUUGUCAGUUGAUGAAGUUAGCUCUGCAAAUGGAUUUAAAAACUUCUUUGUCAAAAAAGUGGAUGCUUAUCACUCAAUUAUUUUUAUGUCCUCAAGCUGAAUCUAUUACUUAUUCAUCACAAUCGUAAUACUAAAUUGAGUUACCAGAAGAGGUUGAGAUUGCUUUUACUUUCCAUCCUUCAAGGGCUGUGAGGCUAGAUACGGCAGGUACUCUGAACCUGUUGCUUCAGGACCCCAGGAAGACUCAAGCCUUUCCAGUAUCAAGUUGUUGACAAAGAUGAGUCCCUGCCAGUAGGAUCCAAGGACUACUUGUGUCACUGCAGUGAGGAGGACAUCACGCAAGUCACAUACAACCAAAUUGCAAGUUAACUGCCGAGCUCAUGAGGGAUAUGCAAUUCUACAAACCUCCCAAAGUAAACUCACAAUUUGCGCUCCCUGAAGGCACUAAAAAUCAACGAGAGUCAUGGAAUACUGGAACAUAUGGAAGAGUUUGCCACCCUUUGCACAAACACACAAGACACCAUUACCCUACAGGGCUACAUCAUAUUUAUGUUUGCUAUUAGAAUGCACCUCAGUAAUACGCACGGCCCCAUUCAAAGUGAAGCAUGGCAACACCUGGUGUUUGUGUGAAACCAUCCCAGAAGGUUUACAAAUUCAAUUAAGAAAAAACGCAAUGAGCUGUGGCAGGGAAGAUAAGUGCUAUACAGGCAGGAAGGCAUUACUUAUAGUGACAAAUCUGCUGGCACCACUCAAGUGUCUGUGCCUAAAGAAGGAGACUGAAUGUGACAGGAAAACAACCCUUAACAGAAAUGUUAUUCUUCUACUUUAUCGAGAUUUCUUAGUGACCUUUGGGAUGCAGUUGCAAUCACACAUCCUUAUCUGUUACAUUUUAAAUUGCUACUGCUUGCUUUCACACACGCACCAAUCCAGUUGAAAUGCAAAACUAUUAAGAUGUACAUAAAGUCGUGAGGUAUCUUAGAGGCUCAGAUAAAACACAGAAAAUUUCAAAACUUCAGAUUCCACUAAGAAUGAAAAAUAAAAAUAAUAAAAAAACAUACCUGAUGAAUGCUUACAUAUGUCCUCUCAGAGUGCUCAGCCUCUGUCUGGUUCCCAAUGCAAGGCAAAGAAUCGUAGAAUCAUUGCAGUUGGAAAGACCACUAAGAUCACCCAGUCAACUCAUCAACCCAUUACCACCAUAGCACUAACCCAGGCCAACCACAUGUAGCUUCCUUCCCACCACUGUGAGUGGAAGACUCGCACAUUCAAUCAUCACAAAGCCAACCAAAUGCAUCCCUGGACUCACUUCAGCCUUUUCCAGCACCCACACUAACAACAGCCCCAAGGAGCUGUGAGAGAACACCUGGGAGCCAGCUUCAGCCUCAGGUACCAUCCAAAACCCUUCCCUUUAGAGUUCCCUGUUCCCUACAGAGGGGAAGCAGAGACAGGCUCUCCUUCAAACAUGUAGCUCCUUUCCUCUCCUCACUUUCCUAAAGAGGUCCUUGGGGUCCUGCUCCCCAGGCUGGGUGUUCUUUCCCUUUUCCUGCUCUAUGCCAUGUGAAAGGAAACUGACCACUCACAGAGGACUGAUGCUGUCUUCUUGUCAGAUGCUGUGUUGUGCAGUUGCACCGCAUUGGACGCAUUUUGCACAGCCCCACAAUUUUAGUUUGUGUUAUAAUUAACAAAUACUCAUUGACAUAGCAAAGAAAUUAAACAUUCUCAUGCUAUUCACAUUAUACAUUAUUAAGACAGGGAAGAGUCUCCUCCUAAUGCUGCCUUUGAGCCACAGUUUACUUAUUCCACUCAAGAUAAACAGCACCCUGCUCUGUUUCCCUACCGUGACAAUGUCUCUGUGAAGUAAUGUGCAGCUCAUUCUAAUUAGCCGAAUUUCAUGCUCUCCUACUUUGUUAUUGUUGAGCUCUUAGUUUGCGCUCUGGGCUUCAGUGCUUUUUUGUGGCCAAGAAAACACAGUGAUUGCC